RNAcentral lists this ribosomal RNA (252 nucleotides) under uncultured bacterium. RNAcentral describes it as "partial 16S ribosomal RNA". It matches the Rfam family "Bacterial small subunit ribosomal RNA", at positions 524 to 776 of the family's 1533-position model. The record is from RNAcentral.
UACGUAGGGCGCAAGCGUUGUCCGGAAUUAUUGGGCGUAAAGAGCUCGUAGGCGGUUUGUCGCGUCUGCUGUGAAAACUGGAGGCUCAACCUCCAGCCUGCAGUGGGUACGGGCAAACUAGAGUGCGGUAGGGGAGAUUGGAAUUCCUGGUGUAGCGGUGAAUGCGCAGAUAUCAGGAGGAACACCGUGGCGAAGGCGGUUCUCUGGGCGAUUACCUGACGCUGAGGAGCGAAAGCGUGGGGAGCAAACAGG